AUUGAACGCUGGCGGCAGGCCUAACACAUGCAAGUCGAACGGUAGCACAGAGAGCUUGCUCUCGGGUGACGAGUGGCGGACGGGUGAGUAACGUCUGGGAAACUGCCCGAUGGAGGGGGAUAACUACUGGAAACGGUAGCUAAUACCGCAUAACGUCGCAAGACCAAAGUGGGGGACCUUCGGGCCUCACACCAUCGGAUGUGCCCAGAUGGGAUUAGCUAGUAGGUGGGGUAAUGGCUCACCUAGGCGACGAUCCCUAGCUGGUCUGAGAGGAUGACCAGCCCAACUCGAACUGAGACACGAUCCAGACUCCUACGGGAGGCAGCAGUGGGGAAUAUUGCACAAUGGGCGCAAGCCUGAUGCAGCCAUGCCGCGUGUAUGAAGAAGGCCUUCGGGUUGUAAAGUACUUUCAGCGGGGAGGAAGGCGGUGAAGUUAAUAGCUUCACCGAUUGACGUUACCCGCAGAAGAAGCACCGGCUAACUCCGUGCCAGCCGCCGCAGUAA
RNAcentral lists this ribosomal RNA (504 nucleotides) under uncultured bacterium. RNAcentral's name for it is "partial 16S ribosomal RNA". It matches the Rfam family "Bacterial small subunit ribosomal RNA", at positions 30 to 523 of the family's 1533-position model. The record is from RNAcentral.